Molecule: non-coding RNA, 71 nt
Organism: Aphanizomenon flos-aquae
Lineage: Bacteria; Bacillati; Cyanobacteriota; Cyanophyceae; Nostocales; Aphanizomenonaceae
Source: Rfam
GCGGGUGUAGUUUAGUGGUAAAACUCCAGCCUUCCAAGCUGAUCAUGCGGGUUCGAUUCCCGCCACCCGCU